This 492-nucleotide ribosomal RNA is filed under the name uncultured bacterium. RNAcentral describes it as "partial 16S ribosomal RNA". It matches the Rfam family "Bacterial small subunit ribosomal RNA", at positions 29 to 507 of the family's 1533-position model. The record is from RNAcentral.
AUUGAACGCUGGCGGCAUGCUUUACACAUGCAAGUCGAACGGUAACAGGCCUUCGGGUGCUGACGAGUGGCGAACGGGGGAGUAAUGCAUCGGAACGUACCCAGAGGGGGGGGGUAACGCAGCGAAAGCUGUGCUAAUACCGCAUGUGAUCUGAGGAUGAAAGCGGGGGACCGAGCAGCAAUGUUUGGCCUCGCGCGUUUGGACCGGCCGAUGUCGGAUUAGCUAGUUGGGGGGGUAAAGGCCUACCAAGGCGACGAUCCGUAGCCGAUCUGAGAGGACGACCAGCCGCACUGGGGCUGAGACACAGACCAGGCGCCUACGGGCAGCAUCAGUGUGGAAUUUUGGACAAUGGGCGUAAGCAUGCUCCAGCCCAGCCGCGUGCAGGGAGCAGGCCUCCGGGUUGUAAACAGCAUUUGGCAGGAAAGAAACGGUGUCCGCUGAUACCGUGCGCUAAUGACGGUACCUGAAGAAUAAGCACCGGCUAACAACGUG